This 200-nucleotide ribosomal RNA is filed under the name uncultured bacterium. RNAcentral's name for it is "partial 16S ribosomal RNA". It matches the Rfam family "Bacterial small subunit ribosomal RNA", at positions 131 to 334 of the family's 1533-position model. The record is from RNAcentral.
CGAUGGAGGGGGAUAACUACUGGAAACGGUAGCUAAUACCGCAUAACGUCGCAAGACCAAAGAGGGGGACCUUCGGGCCUCUUGCCAUCGGAUGUGCCCAGAUGGGAUUAGCUAGUAGGUGGGGUAACGGCUCACCUAGGCGACGAUCCCUAGCUGGUCUGAGAGGAUGACCAGCCACACUGGACUGAGACACGGCCCAG